UAGGGAAUUUUGCGCAAUGGGCGAAAGCCUGACGCAGCAACACCGCGUGAAUGUUAAGCCCUUCGGGGUGUAAAGUUCUGUCAGUAGGGAAGAAUAAAUGACUGUACCUACAAAGGAAGCACCGGCUAACUCCGUGCCAGCAGCCGCGGUAAUACGGGGGGUGCAAGCGUUGUCCGGAAUCAUUGGGCGUAAAGCGUUCGUAGGCGGUAAAGUAAGUCAGAUGUUAAAGCCCGGGGCUCAACUCCGGUUCGGCAUUUGAUACUACUUAACUGGAAUGCGGUAGAGGUAAAGGGAAUUCCUGGU
This 303-nucleotide ribosomal RNA is filed under the name uncultured bacterium. RNAcentral describes it as "bacterial SSU rRNA". It matches the Rfam family "Bacterial small subunit ribosomal RNA", at positions 355 to 674 of the family's 1533-position model. The record is from RNAcentral.